AUUGAACGCUGGCGGCAGGCUUAACACAUGCAAGUCGAGCGAGCGGCGGACGGUUGAGUAAUGUCUUGGAAACUGCCUGAUGGAGGGGGAUAACUACUGGCAACGGUAGCUAAUACCGCAUACCCUCAGAUGUGCCCAGAUGGGAUUAGCUAGUAGGUUGGGUAAUGGCUCACCUAGGCGACGAUCCCUCGCUGGGCUGAGAGGAUGACCAUCCAAACGGGAACUGAGACACGGUCCAGACGCCUACGGGAGGCAGCAGGGGGGAAUAUUGCAAAAUGGGCGCAAGCCUGAUGCAGCCAUGCCGAGUGUGUGAAGAAGGCCUUCGGGUUGUAAAGCACUUUCAGCGAGGAGGCGUUACUCGCAGAAGAAGCACCGGCUAACUCCGUGCCAGCAGCCGCGGUAAUAC
This 406-nucleotide ribosomal RNA is filed under the name uncultured bacterium. RNAcentral's name for it is "partial 16S ribosomal RNA". It matches the Rfam family "Bacterial small subunit ribosomal RNA", at positions 30 to 526 of the family's 1533-position model. The record is from RNAcentral.